Long non-coding RNA from Clupea harengus (Atlantic herring), 488 nucleotides. RefSeq lists it as uncharacterized. The transcript has 3 exons. Lineage: Eukaryota; Metazoa; Chordata; Actinopteri; Clupeiformes; Clupeidae. The record is from RefSeq and is a predicted model, not a curated record.
UGGACAUGAAGGCGUUGCGCUUUGCAGCGCUUGUCCGCGCAUACCGCCGGUGGUGGUGAAGGAUGCGGACUCUGACGCUGUGUUCGCUCCUCUCCUCUCCUCUCCUCAGUGGAGCAUCUGCUUCCCGAAGAGGACAGUCCACUGCGCCACUCGCCCUCGUCAGAGACUCCAGCGCAGAGGGAUUUGUGAUCCACGCCAGUGAAAUAAGACCAGAUGUAUACAGCCUGUGGUGAAAACAGCAGGAUGCACAUGGAUAUUUGAAAAACUGACACUUACAGGAAAGAACAACGUCCAGUACGAUGGCCCAGACACUUGAAUCUCCCUUCUCCAGCUGAGUGCUUUAUCAAACCUCCAAAUGACAGAUUCCAAAUUCCCCGGAAUCAUUCUACAAUAGCAUAAAGGGUCUUAUGUCAUCCCAGUGUGUGGCCUUGCCCAGUCGACCGUGAAGUAAGGUCCCUCCGCAUAUACGGUAAUAAGAUGCUCUGCUU